Molecule: long non-coding RNA, 1465 nt
Organism: Carya illinoinensis
Lineage: Eukaryota; Viridiplantae; Streptophyta; Magnoliopsida; Fagales; Juglandaceae
Exons: 3
Source: RefSeq, a predicted model, not a curated record
CUUCAAACCCGUUGCAUUGGACCGGGUAAAAUAAAGGAAUUGAAGCUUUCAGUAACAGUAAGUCUAUCCCUUUCUCCAUACAUAGCGAGUUACUGGUCAUCGUCCAUUUAUUAUUUUAUUGUAAAAUCACAUCUCUUCAACCGAAUUGUUGUAUUUCCCUCGUGAAUCUGUUCUCCCCAAAACUUCACUUUCUCUCCCUUUCUCCCUCGCCGAACACCCCCUUCAUUUUUUUCUCCCUAGUUCUGUCUUCCUUGCUCUUUCUCGUCGGUCAUCUCUUUGGCCCGACACUCCCUCUCUCCCCUUCUCUCCAUUUUUUCCAUUUUUCUUCCAGUUCUCUUCCUUUUUUCAUUACCCCAAGGUUGUCGAAGUUGGGAAUAUGAUUCUCCUAAAAAAGAGCAGUCAAUUUACAAGAGAGAAUCAAUUUUAAUCAACUGGCAAUGCCUCUAUUAGGGUUCUAUUGUGCUUCACAGAAGCUAGUUUGAGCUUUGCAAACAAAUGUGAUAUACUACAGAGGUAUUUGGCAUGCUUUACAAACUAUUAGCCAGGAGGAGGGUAUUUUGGGUCUAUAUAAGGGGCUUGGAGCGACACUUAUGGGUGUUGGGCCAAGUAUAGCAAUCAAUUUUUCAGUAUAUGAGACCUUGAGAUCUUUUUGGAAAUUGCAUAGAUAAAUCACAUCAUAAGUUGUUUAUGUAAUUUUAUUGUUCUGACGUGACUUCUUACAAUUGCUAUUGCUAGUGUCCUUUUUUUGGUUCUAAAACAUAAAUUUGUUGUCUUUAUAUCAAGCCCGGUGAUUCUACUGUCCUUGUAAGUCUGACUUGUGGAAGUCUUUCAGGAAUUGCAUCAUCAACAGGUGAGUGAUCUUAGACCUUCUACAUCCGAAGCUUUUCAUGAGUUUUGAGAGUGCUUCUACAUUUCUUGUUAUUUUGGUCUAAAAAAUAUUGUCCAUCACAUGAGCAUGAUAACACAGCUCGAUGCUGUAGUUGUGAACGUCUAGAGGUAAUCAUCCAAGAUGUAGAACAUUUUUUCUUCUAUUACCUUAUCUCCAAAAUGUUUUCUUAAGUGGAAGAGAUGAAUAUUAAUUCAAAUUGAUCUACAUACCUUUCCCCCCCUAUUUUUGUCUCCUUGAAGUCUUGGAACACAAGAUACAACUCUCUGGAAGAUGGGCAACGUUUAUGCUUAGAGUGCAUGGAAUCUGCUAUCAUGGAUACUGGUGAUUGUCAACCAUUUACCAUGCCAUAAGAGAUUAUUAUGAAGGACUGAACAUGAAAUUAGAUCAACAAAUUCCAAUGCUUCUGGUUGAAAGACAAGCACUUAAUGAAGCCAUUGUUGGGGAGAAGAAUGUAAUAAAUGAUCUCUUGGUGUCUGUAUUUUAUUUACUUUUUCAUGAAAAUUCUCAGAUUCUAAAAUGUGAGGCCUUUGUGUUAUAGGUUGAUGUUAUGAAAUGUUAUUAUUGAUCUUUCUUUCA